GCAUGAUCAAGCCGCCGGUGCCAUAGAGAUCCUUGUUAGGGAUUUGAAAGUUUUCCCCAUUCACAAUGCUGAUGUGUAUAUAUAAAGAAAUGACUCAGCUCCUGACACUAGACAAUAUCCGUGAGCAUGAUCAACUUCGUGGCUAUAGAGAUGCAAACCAUGCAAGAUCAGCAGUGCUGAAUGAGAUCUACAGGCUUAUUGAAGCAAAUUCUCUUUUCAAUGACAGACUGAAUUUCCCUGACCUAGAAGCUUCGAGGUUAAAGACAAUCAUGAACCAAUGCCUGAAUUGGCAGCAUUUCCAUUGCCAAAAUCCAGCUGAUAUUCCAGAUUUAAGAAGCUCAUUCAUGGAUCAUAAAUGUAACAAACCCGAUUCGUCUCAGCAACCAGCCACAAACAAUCAGUUGAUAGGAUCCACAACAAGAUCUAAAGGACUUUUCCAACUGGGUUCAAAUGGGGCUUUUCAAUCUGUACCCUCAUCAAUUCCACCCCAAGUGCGAGUUCCACCACUUAUGCCAAUUUUAUGAUCAGGACCAGUUCAACCUUUCAGCUCAGGAUGAGAAAUCUAUCAAUCAUACAUCAUGCGACAAACCAAGUGGAGAUGAUCUUGAAGGGUCCCGGGUGUUGUAAUGAUAUGUCCAGAUCUAUGCCUUCUGGCUUUUCAGCGAAGGACCUAUUCCUGGACCAAGCAAAAGUCUGGCGUCCAACAGAGUCCAUGACUUGCUCAAGACUGUUGGGCGGGUUUUGCAUCAAGGAUCACUUCCAGUGAGCAUGGAUUUUCCACCCUCCAACAUUCUCUACUGCUAGUUGGAACUGAUAUCAGGGAGAUAGCCCUGUGGGAGGUUAGUUCCAAGCAAAAGGUAGCUUCAAGGGCUUUUGGCCUUUGGGAUAUGAGAGGAACAUCAAUGAAAUUAAAGGUAUGUCCCCUUCUCAAUAAAGUUGGAACCAAGAUAACAAUUUAAUAUAGCCAGAAUGAUCUGAACUCUAUACUGAUUUAUCUGGAUGAAUUUC
This is a long non-coding RNA of Vitis vinifera (wine grape), 1008 nucleotides long. RefSeq lists it as uncharacterized. NCBI's taxonomy places the organism in Eukaryota, Viridiplantae, Streptophyta, Magnoliopsida, Vitales, Vitaceae. The record is from RefSeq and is a predicted model, not a curated record. The transcript is spliced from 7 exons.